RNAcentral lists this non-coding RNA (177 nucleotides) under Candidatus Sumerlaeota bacterium. RNAcentral's name for it is "6S RNA". It matches the Rfam family "6S / SsrS RNA". From Rfam's summary of the family: E. coli 6S RNA was the first non coding RNA to be sequenced, but its function was unknown until recently. It consists of 184 nucleotides that fold into an extended hairpin structure with a large single-stranded internal bulge. The 6S RNA specifically associates with RNA polymerase holoenzyme containing the sigma70 specificity factor. Lineage: Bacteria; Candidatus Sumerlaeota. The record is from RNAcentral.
AAUUGCCUGCGGCGUUGGUUUGUUAGUGAUGUAGCGAGCCAAUGAUUCAAAAUCGGGAGCUUCAUAUUACUCCGUCUAGUGGAAGUCCCUUCUUGUGGAAAUCCUAACGACGAUCUUGCGAGCACCCACCUGGUGACCCGGUUCACCUACUCUAGUGAACGGCGCCGCGGGUUAAUA